GUAGGGGGCAAGCGUUGCUCGGAAUUACUGGGCGUAAAGGGUGUGUAGGUGGCUGAGUAAGUCAAAGAUGAAAUCCCGAAGCUCAACUUCGGAAUUGUCCUUGAAACUGUUCAGCUUGAGGAUAGUUGAGGAGAACGGAAUUCCCGGUGGAGCGGUGAAAUGCGUAGAUAUCGGGAGGAACACCAGAGGCGAAGGCGGUUCUCUAAGCUAUUCCUGACACUGAGACACGAAAGCUAGGGGAGCGAACGGGAUUAGAUACCCCGGUAGUCCUAGCUGUAAACGAUGAGCACUAGAUGUUUCCCGUUUUAUACGGGAGUGUCGAAGCUAACGCGUUAAGUGCCCCGCCUGGGGAGUACGGUCGCAAGGCUG
This 369-nucleotide ribosomal RNA is filed under the name uncultured organism. RNAcentral's name for it is "partial 16S ribosomal RNA". It matches the Rfam family "Bacterial small subunit ribosomal RNA", at positions 527 to 896 of the family's 1533-position model. The record is from RNAcentral.